This 7435-nucleotide long non-coding RNA is filed under the name Brassica napus (rape). RNAcentral describes it as "long non-coding RNA (BNAP_LNC007549)". The record is from RNAcentral. Lineage: Eukaryota; Viridiplantae; Streptophyta; Magnoliopsida; Brassicales; Brassicaceae.
CGUCGUCGCACUCAACCUCUUGCUCUCCUUCGGGAGUGAUGAACUUGACCUUGUAUGUAGCCAUGGCUGUGACGCGUCCACCACGUGCGGUUCCUGACUUGAGGCCGAAGAGGGUCUGAGUGUUGGCUAAGGGGAGGGAACGGAGGCUGAUGGGAGAUGUUUGACGGCGGAGGAAGGAUGUUCCGACGAUGACGCUUGAGAUAGCUGUGGAGGCCAUUUCUUUUCUUUAGAGGAUUUGAGAAGGUUUCUUGGGUUCUCUGUGGGUUAUGGCUUGUGGAAAUGGCAUGGAGAGAUUAAAAGGUGAGACUGUGGUGGAAUCCUAUCUUCCACGUGGCGUUUAUCUUGUGGGUUGGUGGCUUAUCAUCUUCAUGUUCUGGUGAAUUGUGAUUUGUUUCCUUUUUGUGUGUGAUUGUGUUUGACACACUUUACACUAUCUUGUUGAUGUGAGCUGUACGUGGUGUUAUUUGGGACAACUCACACUAGAUUAGACGGACCAAACUGAAAUUGUUGGUACAGGUCCGGUUAUAAAUUCUGAAGCGAACAGCAGAUUUUAAGAUAUUCAUUUAUCCAAAAGUUUAAACCAAAAAAAAAAAAAAAUUCAGUUCAAUACACCAAUUUGUUUUUUUUAACCGUAACAAACCAAAAAUCUAUUCGGUUCAGUCGGCAUAAAUUUUUUUUGGGGUGGGGGAUUUUCCGCCUACCUCUUUACAGAGAUGAACGCUUUACCAAAAAAAACGGGGAGAAAAAGCUCUCCGUAGCAAAAAAAAGAAAAGAGGAUUUCAAUAAGAAAAUAAAUUGGAUUCUCAAAUCACUACACAAUUUGUCUUCCUCCCUCCACUCAUUCCACAUUUUCCCUUGUUUUGUAAUAAUCUAAACCCGUAAGAAGCUUCUUUCUAACAGACUUAACUGCCACCAACCAACAUUCUUCUCUCCCGCGUUUGCUUUACGCUCUUGCUUCACUAACUCUCUCGCUCUCUCUCUCUCUCUUUCUAAUCGCACUUGAUGUUUCUGUAGAUCCUCCUUACAAACAGAUUCGAUCCUAAGAACCCAACAGCUCCUGCACAUUCAAUUACCAACGUAUUUUCAGACCAAACCAAAUGCCAGUUUUGAAAGUGAGAACGAGAGAGUGAAAAGAUAACUAACCGCAAAGGAUUCCGAGGCCAAGACAGAACAUCAAGGUGUAUCCGAAGUAGAAACUGGUCUGGAAAAACCCAAACAUCUUUGUCUUUACGUAGUAGUAAUAGAUCGAGUAUAAGUAGACAUAAACCGCAGUCGAAGCAGCUGAGAAGAACGACGUCCAUUGCCAGUGAUAGUUUUCCGCAUUUAGCAAGAAGUAUGUUCCCACGAUCGUCACACAGACCGUCACCACAACAAGAAUCAAAAAGACAAGCAGCAUGAAUCCGUACACGUAGUAUACCUGCCACGAAAUGUACGGUGAGUUUUGCUCUUUCUAACUGAAGUUGUAAGCUGUGUAAGAGAUCUUUUUACCUUGUAAUUCCAGAAGGAUGUGAAGACAAAGUACAUUUCGAUGAAGAUGCUGCCGAAGGGUAAGAGACCUCCCAUAAGAGAGACUACUGAUGGAGUCAAGUACCACUUCUUCUCAGGGAUUGGACGUGGGAUUGUCUUCACACGGCAUGGGUUGUUUGGGGCACCACUCCAGUUUCUACCAACGACUGUCCCAAGGAGGGCGAGAGGGAAUGAAAUGAAGCCCCAAAUAACGAACACAACCACCAUCGUUCCAAAGGGAAUAGCGGCAAGAGAACCGUAGAAUAUAGCGAUUGUGUUUAGGAUGAAUCCAAUCCCAAAGCACAAGAAUGGGAAGAGCGAAGCCGUGAGGAUUAUGCACUUGAUCCAAUGUUUACCUGAGCAAAAGAAGUAUCAAGAGAAUUUGAGAAUGAGUCGAAGGAAGGUGUGUUAUUGGAGAGCUUGCUUGCUGUUUUCAACAAAGAUGGAAACAACAUACCCCCACUUCUUGAGUACAUUCCACCGCUCACAUAACCAGAGAUAAAUGACGUCAGAGCGUAGCAAACUAUGAAAGUUGUGACGAUCGCUCCUCUCCUGAACAAGGUUAAACCAGAAUGAUUUUCAGACAAAAGCUAAUCACUUACUCCGUGAGAAAUAACAACAUGAGAAGUUGAUUGAAAGUAGGAGUGUAAUACAUACCCAACAUAAAGUGUCCCAAUGAUUGCCAUUAGUAUGACAAGAAGAACAAGCAAAGCCAACUGUGCACCCGUACCAACAACAGCUGAGAGAAGAACCAGACCACGUGGUGGUCGGAACACAUCUCCGUGCACGAGUUUCCAUCCAGAUUCCUCAUUUACAUCCCGUUCCUGUUAUCAAUGCAUACCAGCUGUCAGAAGUUGCUCCACACUCUUGCACUAACGAUGAAGACAAAAUUGACAACAUCGUAGUAACACUAAGAGAACUUCUGCAGAUAUUAUUCUAGAUAAUAGAUUGAGGAAAAUCACCAGGCUCUCAAGGUCGUCGUCUUCUCGAGCAUAUUUAGCAUAAUCAUUUCUGAGAGUCCUCAUUAAUAUCAUUGAGACCAAACCAGUGAGGAAGAUAACCAUCAUGAACGAGUUAAAGAUGGAGAACCAAUGGAUCUGCAUCAUUAAUGAAUCCAUUAACGGAGCAUUAAGUGUAAUAGGUAUCUAAUUAUGAAGCGAAUGAAAUAAUGUCUGAUAGCAGAAGGAUGAAAACAGUAAGACAUAACAUGCUAUGAUUUACCUGGUGUUCGAAGAAAGGAUAGUCUAGAUAAACAUCAAAACGACGAGCAAAUGUGAUGUCGGUUGGGAUCCAAUUCACAGAAUAUGUCAAAUCAACCGUCCUCCCUGCUUCUAACGGCAUUGGGUUGUCUUGUGUGAGAUUCACAUGAAUAAUCUAUGCAAAUAAAAAAAAGUCAGAUCACAGAAAAGUAAAUAUGAGAUCCUUAAUAAUCUGCUUAAUCACAAAGAAACAACCAACCUGGUCUUUGUUGUAUUUGACAUUAAUACUCUUAUGAGUGUAAAGAGCAUGCUUGCCGUUUUCACUUUUCUUUCCAGGAGGCAGCUCGCCCACAAAACCUAUAACAGCAAUGAGAUAGUCAAAAAUCUAUAUAAGGAACUGAAAUUAAAAUUUUGGUUCUUCAAACUGAAUAUAAGAAAAUAUCAUACCCCACAAAGGCAAAUCAUCUGAAUUUGCAUCCACGUACGCCAUAAACAUAAAAUGCCAAUAAGAAGAAAGACAACAGAUAAGCAAAUAAAGGAUGCUAAACAAAAUUAGUUACACUGAUACAAGAAUAGAGGAAUUACGAUGAUGUUGUAGUAUUAGCUCAUUUUUAAACAAUGUUCAUAGCGCAGCAAGUUGAAUUCCCUUGAUGUACAUAGAGACUUUCUAUUUCAUAUGUAACGCUGACAGUAAGUCUUUUAUGAAAACAAUCAACAUCUUUUCUUUGAUACUUCGUCAUCAGUUAUAUGUAUAAGUAAAUGUGAUACAUACCCAUAAACAACUCAAACCAGUAACUAUUUUCGAUGGCAUCUUUGAAAUGCUUGACCUUAGCUUCAUCAAGUUCCAACUGACAGAUCACGCUUCUGUCAACAUUUUCUGGAAGUAAAACAGAAGUAGGCAAUGUAAGUGUUGUGCAAGCAAAAUUUGAAAGAAAAAAUAGCAAAAGAACUAACAUACUCAAGAACUUUAUGUCUAUCUGGCUGUCGAUGAGCUCAUUUCCACCAAGGACCUCACCAAGACCACCCCAUUUGUGAAUGCUGUUUUCAGUUUUGCGGCAAAACGGGAGGCUAUAAUAGUUAUAUGUUUCUUGUGGAUUAUUAUAUGGGCCAACUUUGUUAACCCAAAGAGUAACCUGCUCAUCNNNNNNNNNNNNNNNNNNNNNNNNNNNNNNNNNNNNNNNNNNNNNNNNNNNNNNNNNNNNNNNNNNNNNNNNNNNNNNNNNNNNNNNNNNNNNNNNNNNNNNNNNNNNNNNNNNNNNNNNNNNNNNNNNNNNNNNNNNNNNNNNNNNNNNNNNNNNNNNNNNNNNNNNNNNNNNNNNNNNNNNNNNNNNNNNNNNNNNNNNNNNNNNNNNNNNNNNNNNNNNNNNNNNNNNNNNNNNNNNNNNNNNNNNNNNNNNNNNNNNNNNNNNNNNNNNNNNNNNNNNNNNNNNNNNNNNNNNNNNNNNNNNNNNNNNNNNNNNNNNNNNNNNNNNNNNNNNNNNNNNNNNNNNNNNNNNNNNNNNNNAAAAAAAAAAAAAAGAGAAGGUUAGGGAAAAAUGUCGACAUACUUGGCGUGUGCCCACAACAUUCUAGAGAAUUUAUUACCAAAUGUCUCCCUUCUCUUAAAAGUCGACUCUAAACCCGUUGCCCAAACUGCAUCAGGAUGUCGACACAUUACUUGUUCCUUUCUCCAACUUAUAUUUUAUUUCUGUAACCAACCUAUCGAGAUUCUCGUACUUACCUCCCACUCAUUCAUGUUGUUGGAUGUUUCCGGGAUAUCCUCUUACGCAAAUCUCUCCACUUUUUUUCAUGAUCCCAACGAGAUCUUCUUCUUAGUCACCCAAUGUUCGUCAAUCUCUGAUUUGAUCCCAUCCUUUGCAAUUUGUGAUAUUGAAUUGAAAAAUAGCUGAUUCUGGGUUUUAUUGUUUAGGUUCUUUGGAACUCGUUCCUGAGCCUCACUCUCAGGUAUUUCAUCGAACACCUUGUCAACAAUCUCCAUUGAAAGAAUGAUUCAUACUUUUUUUUUCCAUCUUAAUUUAAAGUCUUUGCAUCUAAUUUGAAGUUUGAUUUGUGAAGGUCUUCGCAAUCUCACAUUGAAUAUAAGAAUUUUACACGAACUUACCUGUUUAAAGAUUCAUACUUUUGUUCUGUUCUGUUUUAUCUGCUUAAAAGAUUCAUACUUUUCUUCUGUUAUGUUUGGUUCUAUUCUGUUUAAAGAUUCUUACUUUUGUUCUCUUCUGUGCUAAAAAAAAACAGCAACAGAGUCCAUUUUGCAGAUAGUUCCCGACACAAUGGCUGCUUCAUCAUCAACCAUCCUCUGCAAUGCCUCCGAGUCAGACCCUUGUCGUGACGACUCCGCAGCGUUUCUACUGAAACUAGUAGCCAUUGCUUCGAUUCUCUUAUCUGGCGCAGCAGGUGUAUCUGUACCACUCAUAGGCAGAAACCGCCGGUUCCUUCAAACCGACGGCAGCCUCUUUGUAACCGCUAAAGCCUUUGCAGCAGGUGUGAUCCUCGCCACUGGGUUUGUUCACAUGUUAGCCGGUGGCGCGGAGGCUUUGAAGAACCCGUGCUUACCGGAGUUCCCUUGGUCUAAGUUUCCUUUCCCGGGGUUCUUUGCUAUGGUUGCUGCUUUGAUCACUCUGCUUGUGGAUUUCAUGGGGACUCAGUACUAUGAGAGGAAGCAAGAGAGGGAAGCUGAUGAUGAUCAGUUGCAGGGUAUUGUUGUUCCCUUGGUUGGUGAAGGAGGAUGUAACGAUGAGAAAGUGUUUGGAGAAGAAGACAAUGGUGGAAUUCACAUUGUUGGCAUUCAUGCUCAUGCUGCUCACCAUAGACAUAGUCACCCUCAUGGUCAUGGUUCGUGUGAUGGACACAGUAAAAUCGACAUUGGUCAUGGACAUGGACACGUGCAUGGGGGUUUGGAGCUUGGAAGUGGUGCAAGGCAUGUUGUUGUUUCUCAGGUACAAACUCUUUCUUGAUUCUUGUACAGCUUUAAAAUGUCCAAAAAUGAAUCUUUAUAUGAUUUGGUUAGGUUUUGGAGCUUGGGAUCGUGUCACACUCCAUUAUCAUCGGCAUAUCACUUGGAGUAUCUCAGUCUCCAUGCACAAUCCGGCCACUCAUCGCAGCACUAUCCUUCCACCAAUUCUUUGAAGGGUUUGCGCUCGGUGGAUGCAUCUCCCAAGCGCAGUUCAGGAACAAGUCAGCGACCAUAAUGGCAUGCUUUUUCGCCCUCACGACGCCUAUAGGGAUAGGGAUUGGAACUGCAGUGGCGUCGUCUUUCAACUCUCACAGCGUUGGAGCGUUGGUCACGGAAGGUGUAUUGGAUUCGCUGUCGGCAGGGAUACUUGUGUACAUGGCUUUGGUGGAUCUUAUAGCUGCUGAUUUCUUGAGUAAGAGGAUGAGUUGUAACUUUAGGCUUCAGAUUGUUUCUUAUUUGAUGUUGUUCCUUGGAGCUGGACUCAUGUCUUCUCUUGCUAUUUGGGCUUAGAUUGUGAGAUUCUUUCUUUUGUUAUAGCUGCUACAAACAAUGUGUAUAGUUCUAGAAUAAUCAAAUCUCGGAUGAGUUAUUCUUUCUUCUGUUGCCUGGAUGUUUUUGUUCUACAGUUUCCUUAUAAAAUAGAGGAAUUGGAAUUAAGUAUGCGAAAAAAAUAUAUUAAAAAAGUAUCUCCAAUGUUCAAAGACAAUGUUUUGAGAUUAUAAAAAUAAAAAAAAUAAAUAAAAGGGAGAUAAGGUUAGAUUUUCAUCAAAGGUGCACCACUCAUAGUCCUCAAAGAAACUGUACUUCCAGUGUUCAAAGAUAACGUUUAGAUUCUCAUCAAAAGUUCUUCAGAAAUUGCAUUACCAUAAGUUUGAAACAGUUAUCCAUUGAUCUAACCAAAAGAUGGUCCAAACCAAGAACAAUUACAACAGACAACAAUAUAGAUUAUACUAAAGUAACAACAAACUCAACCCAAAAUGUAAAGACAUGAAUGAUUAUGAAACCAUCAAAAGCAGCAUGUUAAUGGAGCUUUUGUCUUAAACAAUGUCAUCUUCUCUGUGGGUCUCAAUGGUAACAUCAGAAGUUGGAUAAGCCGCACAGGUGAGAACAAACCCUUCAGCAAUCUGGUCAUCAUCGAGGAAACUCUGGUCAGACUGGUCAACAAAACCAGACACAACUUUACCUGCACAGCUCGAGCAAGAACCGGCACGGCAAGAGUAAGGCAAGUCGAUCCCGGCUUCCUCAGCAGCGUCGAGGACGUAAACGUCGUCGUCGCACUCAACCUCUUGCUCUCCUUCGGGAGUGAUGAACUUGACCUUGUAUGUAGCCAUGGCUGUGACGCGUCCACCACGUGCGGUUCCUGACUUGAGGCCGAAGAGGGUCUGAGUGUUGGCUAAGGGGAGGGAACGGAGGCUGAUGGGAGAUGUUUGACGGCGGAGGAAGGAUGUUCCGACGAUGACGCUUGAGAUAGCUGUGGAGGCCAUUUCUUUUCUUUAGAGGAUUUGAGAAGGUUUCUUGGUUUCUCUGUGGGUUAUGGCUUGUGGAAAUGGCAUGGAGAGAUUAAAAGGUGAGACUGUGGUGGAAUCCUAUCUUCCACGUGGCGUUUAUCUUGUGGGUUGGUGGCUUAUCAUCUUCAUGUUCUGGUGAAUUGUGAUUUGUUUCCUUUUUGUGUGUGAUUGUGUUUGACACACUUUACACUAUCUUGUUGAUGUGAGCUGUACGUGGUGUUAUUUGGGACAACUCACACUAGAUUAGACGGACCAAACUGAAAUUGUUG